This 384-nucleotide small RNA is filed under the name Pan troglodytes (chimpanzee). RNAcentral describes it as "processed transcript". The record is from RNAcentral. Lineage: Eukaryota; Metazoa; Chordata; Mammalia; Primates; Hominidae.
UAAGUGGCAUACCGCUUAUUAUACAAGAGGAUGUGGUUGAAACAGUCUGCCCCAGGAACAACCAAUAAGAAGGUGACUACACUUGUCAACACAAGCAACAAAGGCCCAUCUGGUAAAAAGAAAGGGAGGUCAAAGAAAGCCCAUGUACUAGCUGCCUCUGUAGAGCAAGCCACUCAGAAUUUCCUGGAAAAGGGUGAACAGAUCGCUAAGGAGAGUCAAGAUCUCAAAGAAGAGUUGGUGGCUGCUGUAGAGGAUGUGCGCAAACAAGGUUGGCCGACUCGUGUAUGUGAGACCUGCUUGGGCUCCAGCUGCGGUUAAACAUGUCUGUGGGACCAGUAGCCCGACUUUCCAAUCAGAGCUUUGUUGCUGUGACUGCUGCUGUGG